CUUUAACAGCCGUAGUUCUUUGAUGAGUUAUUUUUCCCCCUUUUUCUCUGCUUCUGUACUUAAAGAGCACUGGUGGUUUGUAAUGCUCCAGGCAUGGUUCUGUAAAGAUAUGACAAAACUGAAACUCCCUUACAGCGAUAUGAUUUAUAGCAUGUAUCAUAAAAAGCUAUCUGGCCAGACUGGAUCAUUGAGGAUAAGAUGCAGCAGGAGAGCUAUAUGGAUAGUCCUCUAGAAAUAGAUGCAGUAAAAAACUGCCCAUCUGCAGAUGGUUUCACCCUGACUUCAAGCUUCAAAUUCCCCCAUUAACCAGCAGGCCAAGCCUACCAAAACUAUCCAUCAAUGAAAACAGCCACCAUGAGGCUCUCUGAUGAAACUGGCAGUGUCUUAAACAAGUUGAAAGGGUAAAAAUACACUAUACCUGUGGCCUUAAAUAAAAUAACGUGUGUACA
RNAcentral lists this long non-coding RNA (449 nucleotides) under Homo sapiens (human). RNAcentral's name for it is "HSALNT0080487". The record is from RNAcentral. Lineage: Eukaryota; Metazoa; Chordata; Mammalia; Primates; Hominidae.